RNAcentral lists this ribosomal RNA (301 nucleotides) under uncultured bacterium. Its description in RNAcentral is "partial 16S ribosomal RNA". It matches the Rfam family "Bacterial small subunit ribosomal RNA", at positions 509 to 807 of the family's 1533-position model. The record is from RNAcentral.
CAGCCGCCGCGGUAAAACGAAGGGGGCUAGCGUUGUUCGGAGUUACUGGGCGUAAAGCGCGCGUAGGCGGACAUUUAAGUCAGGGGUGAAAUCCCGGGGCUCAACCCCGGAACUGCCUCUGAUACUGGGUGUCUAGAGUUCGGAAGAGGUAAGUGGAAUUGCGAGUGUAGAGGUGAAAUUCGUAGAUAUUCGCAGGAACACCAGUGGCGAAGGCGACUUACUGGUCCGAUACUGACGCUGAGGUGCGAAAGCGUGGGGAGCAAACAGGAUUAGAUACCCCAGUAGUCCCUGUCUCUUAUAC